UACGUAGGGGGCGAGCGUUGUCCGGAAUUACUGGGCGUAAAGGGCGCGUAGGUGGUUGCUUAAGUUAGGCGUGAAAGCCCCGGGCUUAACCUGGGGAUAGCGCUUAAGACUGGGUGACUUGAGUGCAGGAGAGGGGAGCGGAAUUCCUGGUGUAGCGGUGAAAUGCGUAGAGAUCAGGAGGAACACCAGUGGCGAAGGCGGCUUUCUGGACUGUAACUGACACUGAGGCGCGAAAGCUAGGGGAGCAAACGGGAUUAGAUACCCUGGUAGUCCUAGCCGUAAACGAUGGGUACUAGGUGUAGGAGGUAUCGAACCCUUCUGUGCCGCAGUUAACACAAUAAGUACCCCGCCUGGGGAGUACGGCCGCAAGGUUGAA
RNAcentral lists this ribosomal RNA (376 nucleotides) under uncultured bacterium. Its description in RNAcentral is "bacterial SSU rRNA". It matches the Rfam family "Bacterial small subunit ribosomal RNA", at positions 524 to 898 of the family's 1533-position model. The record is from RNAcentral.